CGAGCACGCGCGUGUGGCAUAUCAAUAAGCGGAGGAAAAGAAACUAACAAGGAUUCCCUUAGUAACGGCGAGUGAAGCGGGAAGAGCUCAAAUUUGAAAUCUUCAAGGUUCUACCUUGACGAAUUGUAGUUUAUAGAAGUGUUUUCUGUUAGUGGAGUGGCAAAAGUUCUUUGGAAUAGGACAUCAUAGAGGGUGAGAAUCCCGUAUUUGGUCAUUCCUCCUAGCGUUGUGAUACACUUUCAACGAGUCGGAUUGUUUGGGAAUGCAGUCCAAAAUGGGUGGUAAAUUUCAUCUAAAGCUAAAUAUUGGCGAGAGACUGAUAGCGAACAAGUACCGUGAGGGAAAGAUGAAAAGAACUUUGAAAAAGAGGUUAAACAGUACGUGAAAUUGUCAAAAGGGAAGCGUUUGACACCAGUGUUGUUUUUCCGAAAAUCAAUUACGAAUGUUUUAUUUCUUGAGGAGUUAUGACUUCAUCGGCUUGCUUCUUUCUUUAUGAAACUUUCUUAAUGCACUUUUCGGUUAACAGGUCAACAUCAAUUUCUUUUGUUGUAAAAGGGUAUGAGGAAGGUGGCUUUCUUUUCGGAGAAAGUGUUUAUAGCCUUGUGCCUCUGCAAUCGGAGAGAUUGAGGUCUGCAGCGUAGAUCCUUCGGGGUUAGAUACGUUUGUGCUAAGUUAUAGCUUUUCAUAGACAACUUGUUGACUAUGUUUAGUCUUGUAGCUUACUCGCUUACUGCUAUUUUACCUACGCUUAGGAUGUUGAUGUGAUACUGCGAGCA
Molecule: ribosomal RNA, 776 nt
Filed under: uncultured Neocallimastigales
Lineage: Eukaryota; Fungi; Neocallimastigomycota; Neocallimastigomycetes; Neocallimastigales
Description: partial large subunit ribosomal RNA
Rfam family: Eukaryotic large subunit ribosomal RNA
Source: RNAcentral